This is a long non-coding RNA of Ailuropoda melanoleuca (giant panda), 486 nucleotides long. RefSeq lists it as uncharacterized. The record is from RefSeq and is a predicted model, not a curated record. NCBI's taxonomy places the organism in Eukaryota, Metazoa, Chordata, Mammalia, Carnivora, Ursidae. The transcript is spliced from 4 exons.
AAACCCUCGCUUUGGCGCGUGAACUUGAGCUGCUCGCUUCCCGCGCGUCGGAGGCGACACGGGAGCCCCUCGGUGCUGGGGCAGCCAGCAGGCGCUCUCCCGCCCUCGCGGCGCCGAGCGGUUAUAAAGGCGGCUGUCGCCGGAGGGAGGGAGCAAGCGAGGGGUUUUCUUGUGGUCAAGGAGGAAGUUGGAAGAGACCAGCCUUGUCCAACAGAUCUACCAUUCAAGCCACAAACGCCAGGCUCGGCUAAGACCCACAGAAGAAAAAGGACUUGCUCGAAAUUGACUUGAUGAGACAGUGGCACUGAGAAAAAUAUUCCUACCAAGACAAAAAGACAUGGACCAAUGGCUCCAGAGGCCCCAAGAGACUAAUGAACUGACUAAUUCCAAGGACAACACAGACCCAAACCAGAGUGAAACUCCUGUGGAAAGACUCCGGCUGGCACUCAGGGAACACCCCGGGGCCCUCCAGCAGGGGCAGAUCAC